Molecule: non-coding RNA, 24 nt
Filed under: Arabidopsis thaliana (thale cress)
Lineage: Eukaryota; Viridiplantae; Streptophyta; Magnoliopsida; Brassicales; Brassicaceae
Source: RNAcentral
UGAGUUGAGUUGAGUUGAGUUGAC